This is a non-coding RNA of Globicephala melas (long-finned pilot whale), 73 nucleotides long. Lineage: Eukaryota; Metazoa; Chordata; Mammalia; Artiodactyla; Delphinidae. The record is from the annotation of a RefSeq genome assembly.
UCCCUAGUGGUCCAGUGGUGAAGACGCGGUACUGUCACCGCCGUGGGCCCGGGUUCAAUCCCUGGUCAGGGAA